AGAGAUCAUGGCUCAGAUUGAACGCUGGCGGAAUGCUUUACACAUGCAAGUCGAACGGCAGCACGGGGGCAACCCUGGUGGCGAGUGGCGAACGGGUGAGUAAUACAUCGGAACGUGCCCAGUCGUGGGGGAUAACUACGCGAAAGCGUAGCUAAUACCGCAUACGAUCUACGGAUGAAAGCGGGGGAUCGCAAGACCUCGCGCGAUUGGAGCGGCCGAUGGCAGAUUAGGUAGUUGGUGGGGUAAAGGCUCACCAAGCCGACGAUCUGUAGCUGGUCUGAGAGGACGACCAGCCACACUGGGACUGAGACACGGCCCAGACUCCUACGGGAGGCAGCAGUGGGGAAUUUUGGACAAUGGGCGCAAGCCUGAUCCAGCCAUUCCGCGUGCAGGAUGAAGGCCCUCGGGUUGUAAACUGCUUUUGGACGGAACGAAAAGCCUUCUUCUAAUACAAGAAGGUCAUGACGGUACCGUCAGAAUAAGCACCGGCUAACUACGUGCCACCAGCCGCGGUAAUACGUAGGGUGCAAGCGUUAAUCGGAAUUACUGGGCGUAAAGCGUGCGCAGGCGGUUAUGUAAGACAGAUGUGAAAUCCCCGGGCUCAACCUGGGAACUGCAUUUGUGACUGCAUGCCUAGAGUACGGUAGAGGGGGAUGGAAUUCCGCGUGUAGCAUUGAAAUGCGUAGAUAUGCGGAGGAACACCGAUGGCGAAGGCAAUCCCCUGGACCUGUACUGACGCUCAUGCACGAAAGCGUGGGGAGCAAAC
Molecule: ribosomal RNA, 766 nt
Filed under: uncultured beta proteobacterium
Lineage: Bacteria; Pseudomonadati; Pseudomonadota; Betaproteobacteria
Description: bacterial SSU rRNA
Rfam family: Bacterial small subunit ribosomal RNA
Source: RNAcentral